CCUACGGGUGGCAGCAGUGGGGAAUAUUGCACAAUGGGGGAAACCCUGAUGCAGCGACGCCGCGUGAGGGAAGAAGUAUUUCGGUACGUAAACUUCUAUCAGCAGGGAAGAAAAUGACGGUACCUGACUAAGAAGCCCCGGCUAACUACGUGCCAGCAGCCGCGGUAAUACGUAGGGGGCAAGCGUUAUCCGGAUUUACUGGGUGUAAAGGGAGCGUAGACGGUAGCGCAAGUCUGAAGUGAAAUCCCAGGGCUCAACCACGGAACUGCUUUUGAAACUGUGCAGCUAGAGUGCAGGAGAGGUAAGCGGAAUUCCUAGUGUAGCGGUGAAAUGCGUAGAUAUUAGGAGGAACACCAGUGGCGAAGGCGGCUUACUGGACUGUAACUGACGUUGAGGCUCGAAAGCGUGGGGAGCAAACAGGAUUAGAUACCCGAGUAGUC
Molecule: ribosomal RNA, 440 nt
Filed under: uncultured bacterium
Lineage: Bacteria
Description: partial 16S ribosomal RNA
Rfam family: Bacterial small subunit ribosomal RNA
Source: RNAcentral